RNAcentral lists this long non-coding RNA (280 nucleotides) under Lathyrus oleraceus (garden pea). RNAcentral's name for it is "Pisum sativum (pea) long non-coding RNA (PSAT_LNC032497)". The record is from RNAcentral. Lineage: Eukaryota; Viridiplantae; Streptophyta; Magnoliopsida; Fabales; Fabaceae.
UUGUUUUCCCUUGAAAGCUUGAGGUCUAGGCCUAAAUUGGUUACCUGGCCUCCCUUGGUCCUUCUGUCCACUCGUAUACUGAUCCCUUUAUUCUUGAACUUUCUUCAAACUGUUCUCAGCCACAUAUCAUUGCCUUAGUAAUUUAGCAUAAGUAGUGAUUUCUCUUUGAGAAACACUAUGAGAAAUUUCACCUCUUAAACCAAAAAGGAAUUGGUCGAUCUUCCACUUCUCAUCUGAUGCGUACUCGGCAUGUCUAGAAUAAGCAGCCAUAUCUUCGAAC